This is a long non-coding RNA of Neltuma alba, 615 nucleotides long. RefSeq lists it as uncharacterized. The record is from RefSeq and is a predicted model, not a curated record. NCBI's taxonomy places the organism in Eukaryota, Viridiplantae, Streptophyta, Magnoliopsida, Fabales, Fabaceae. The transcript has 2 exons.
UAGGCGAUUUCCGGUCACAAGUUUCAGAGGAGUAUAUAUUGAGUGCUGUGAGGAUAUCUAUCCGGCUUUUGCUGGCAAGAUCCCAUCGAAACUCAUCGACUACUCCGGGGGAAUCAAGCGUCCUGGUCCGAUCCACUUCGGUUUUGGUUAUAAAUAUAUAUAGGGUUUUCCACCUUGCGCUGGCUGUGCCUCUUCUGUUUAUGUAUUUCCCUUCCGUAUCUGCUUACACUGGUUCUAUGCAUCGAUAUCCUUCCUGCACAAAUACAAACAUAUCAUGAACCAUGAUGAGAGUCCGAUCUAUUGCAUCGAAUGCGAUUAGGGACAUGAAAGAGAAAAUUCGGAAAAUUAUUAGAAAGUCAACAAAGAAAACUGGUAAGUUCUUGUGUUUUGAAACAUUCAAGUCUCAUCCUGUUAUAGCCAGCCAGCCAGCCUGUGUCCGCAUCUAAGCUUGAAUUUGAUUGCGUUGUUCGUCAAAUAUAUGGUCCGUAUUUUCUUCCUGGUACAGCAUUUUUGUCAAGUGCACAAUCAACUUGAAGCUAGCUUCAAGAUUCUCUUCUAGUACAGUUACAGGCUUUGGAAUCUAUCAUUAUUACAAAUACGUACAUUGAAUGUUUA